Molecule: ribosomal RNA, 212 nt
Filed under: Glaesserella parasuis
Lineage: Bacteria; Pseudomonadati; Pseudomonadota; Gammaproteobacteria; Pasteurellales; Pasteurellaceae
Description: partial 16S ribosomal RNA
Rfam family: Bacterial small subunit ribosomal RNA
Source: RNAcentral
AAAUUGAAGAGUUUGAUCAUGGCUCAGAUUGAACGCUGGCGGCAGGCUUAACACAUGCAAGUCGAACGGUAGCAGGAAGGAAGCUUGCUUUCUUUGCUGACGAGUGGCGGACGGGUGAGUAAUGCUUGGGAAUCUGGCUUAUGGAGGGGGAUAACGACGGGAAACUGUCGCUAAUACCGCGUAAUGUCUAAGGACUAGAGGGUGGGACUUUC